RNAcentral lists this long non-coding RNA (689 nucleotides) under Mytilus galloprovincialis (Mediterranean mussel). Lineage: Eukaryota; Metazoa; Mollusca; Bivalvia; Mytilida; Mytilidae. The record is from RNAcentral.
AAAUGGAAUACAAGAGUGCACACGCUGAAAUGUCUCGCCUUCUAUACUAAUCAUUGAUAUUAUGUUGAUAGUCCUAAGUAUAAAGCUAAGCUUUAAUACAACUGUCACAUAAACUUAACAUUAACCAAGAUAACUAAACAAAGACCAAUGAACCUUGAAAAUGAGGUCAAGGUCAGAUGAACCAUGCCAGGCAGACAUGUACAGCUAACAAUGCUUCUAUAUAACAUAUAUAGUUGACCUAUUACUUAUAGAUUAAGAAAAAUAGACCAAAACACAGAAACUUAACACUGUGCAAUGAGCCGUGAAAAUGAGGUCACGGUCAAAUAAAACCUGCGCGACUGACAUAAAGAUCAUAAAAUAUUUCCAUACACCAAAUAUAGAUGACCUAUGGCAUAUAGUAUUAGAUAAAAAGACCAAAACUCAAAAACUUAACUUUGACCACUGAACAAUGAAAAUGAGGUCAAGGUCACAUGACAUCUGCCCGCUAGAUAGUUACACCUUACAAUCAUUCCAUACAACAAAUAUAGUAGACCUAUUGCACAUAGUAUGAGAAAAACAGACCAAAACACAAAAAUUUAACUAUAACCACUGAACCAUGAAAAUGAGGUCAAGGUCAGAUGACACCUGCCAGUUGGACAUGUACACCUUACAGUCCUUCCAUACACCGAAUAUACUAGCCCUAUUGCUUG